Pezoporus flaviventris is the source of this 77-nucleotide small nucleolar RNA. RefSeq annotates it as small nucleolar RNA Z175. The transcript has a single exon. The record is from RefSeq and is a predicted model, not a curated record. NCBI's taxonomy places the organism in Eukaryota, Metazoa, Chordata, Aves, Psittaciformes, Psittacidae.
AUUUCAAUGAAGAGAAUGCAUUUAUAUGAUGAAAUCUGAUUAUUAUCUGUUGUAAGGAUUAAGAAAUCCUGGGAAAU